RNAcentral lists this long non-coding RNA (363 nucleotides) under Gallus gallus (chicken). Its description in RNAcentral is "lncRNA (ENSGALG00010009688.1)". The record is from RNAcentral. Lineage: Eukaryota; Metazoa; Chordata; Aves; Galliformes; Phasianidae.
GGGGGCAAUACAGUGGGGUCCUAUGGGGUCUGGGGGGGUCCUAUGAGGUUUGGAGGAGUUAUAUGGGGUUUUGGGGGGUCCUAUGGGGCUCUGGGUUCCUAUGGGGUUGGGGGGGGGCAAUACAGUGGGGUAUUAUGGGGUCUGGGGUGGUCCUAUGGGGCUGUGGGGUCCUAUGGGGUUGAGGGGGGCAAUACAGUGGGGUCCUAUGGGGAUGGGGGGGUCCUAUGGGGUUUGGAGGGCAUACAGUUGGGUCCUAUGAGGAUGGGGGGGUCUUAUGGGGUUUGGGAGUGUUAUAUGGGGUUUUGGGGGGUCCUAUGGGGCUGGGGGGUUCUAUGGGGCUGGGGGGAGUCCUAUACAGUUUAG